This 253-nucleotide ribosomal RNA is filed under the name uncultured bacterium. RNAcentral's name for it is "partial 16S ribosomal RNA". It matches the Rfam family "Bacterial small subunit ribosomal RNA", at positions 524 to 776 of the family's 1533-position model. The record is from RNAcentral.
UACGUAGGGGGCAAGCGUUGUCCGGAAUUAUUGGGCGUAAAGAGCUCGUAGGCGGUUUGUCGCGUCUGCUGUGAAAACGCGAGGCUCAACCUCGCGCCUGCAGUGGGUACGGGCAGACUAGAGUGCGGUAGGGGAGAUUGGAAUUCCUGGUGUAGCGGUGGAAUGCGCAGAUAUCAGGAGGAACACCGGUGGCGAAGGCGGGCCUCUGGGCCGUAACUGACGCUGAGGAGCGAAAGCGUGGGGAGCGAACAGG